RNAcentral lists this ribosomal RNA (1134 nucleotides) under Triticum aestivum (bread wheat). RNAcentral describes it as "partial small subunit ribosomal RNA". The record is from RNAcentral. Lineage: Eukaryota; Viridiplantae; Streptophyta; Magnoliopsida; Poales; Poaceae.
AUGGGUUCGGGGGAAGACGGGCAGCUGGGCAUGGGCCGGUGCGACGAGAAGGACUGGGCCCGCUGCAUCGGCGCUCUGGAUGCGUACGCCGUCUCCGCCGUCGUAGCCGGCAGCCGCAACUCCCUCGCCAUAUGCGACGACGGCAGCCUCUUCACUUGGGGGUGGAAUCAGCGGGGAACGCUCGGGCACCCGCCGGAGACCAAGACAGAGAGCUCCCCGGCGCAUGUCGACGCCCUCAUCGGGGUCAAGAUCGUGCAGGCAGCGAUCGGCGGGUGGCAUUGCCUCGCGGUGGACGACAAGGGGCGGGCUUACGCUUGGGGGGGCAACGAAUAUGGGCAGUGCGGGGAGGAGCCUGAGAGGAAGGAAGAUGGCACAAGGGCACUCAGGAGGGACAUCCCCAUCCCACAGCGAUGCGCUCUCAAGCUCAAAGUUCGGCAAGUAGCUGCGGGGGGGACUCACUCAGUGGUUUUGACACAAGAAGGCCAUGUCUGGACAUGGGGACAACCGUGGCCUCCGGGUGAUAUCAAAAAAAUAUCUACGCCAGUACGUGUGCAAGGGCUUGAACAAGUGAGCAUGAUUGCUGUAGGGGCAUUCCAUAAUUUGGCACUGUCAGUAGAUGGAAUCUUGUGGGCAUGGGGUAAUAAUGAAUAUGGCCAGCUGGGGAUUGGAGAUACCCAACCGAGAUCACAACCGAUCCGUGUUGAAGGGCUAUCUAACCUCUCAUUGGUUGACAUUGCUGCUGGAGGUUGGCAUUCAGCCGCAUUAACUAAAGAAGGAGAGGUAUAUGCUUGGGGAAGAGGAGAACAUGGGAGGCUCGGCUUUGGGGAUGAUAAGAGCAGUCACAUGGUGCCGCUAAAGGUUCAGCUUCUAGCAGGAGAGGAUAUUGUUCAGGUAUCAUGUGGAGGGACCCAUUCAGUUGUGCUAACCAGUGAUGGCCGAAUAUUCUCUUAUGGGAGGGGCGAUCAUGGCCGUCUAGGCGACGGUAGGGAGGUGACUACGGGUCACCCAAUGGAAGUGCCCAUAAACUUGCCGCCACCGAAGACCAGCACCAGCUCCGAAGGGCUAUGGCAAGCGAACUACGUUGCCUGUGGCGGACGACACACACUCGCCAUCGUGACAUGGACUGAUAUGUAA